This 528-nucleotide ribosomal RNA is filed under the name Photobacterium kishitanii. Its description in RNAcentral is "bacterial LSU rRNA". It matches the Rfam family "Bacterial large subunit ribosomal RNA", at positions 1 to 572 of the family's 2925-position model. The record is from RNAcentral. Lineage: Bacteria; Pseudomonadati; Pseudomonadota; Gammaproteobacteria; Vibrionales; Vibrionaceae.
GUUGUAUGGUUAAGUGACUAAGCGUACACGGUGGAUGCUUGGCAGUCAGAGGCGAUGAAGGACGUAUUAACUUGCGAUAAGCCCAGAUUAGGCAGUAAAAGCCACUUGAGUCUGGGAUUUCCGAAUGGGGAAACCCACUAGCAUAAGCUAGUAUCAUUAACUGAAUACAUAGGUUAAUGAAGCGAACCGGGGGGAACUGAAACAUCUAAGUACCCCGAGGAAGAGAAAUCAACCGAGAUUCCGGUAGUAGCGGCGAGCGAAACCGGAUUAGCCCUUAAGCUAGUUCUGCGUUAGGUGAAGGUUCUGGAAAGUACCGCGAUACAGGGUGAUAGCCCCGUAACCAAAAAUGCAGUCUUAGUGAAAUCGAGUAGGACGGGACACGUGAUAUCCUGUUUGAACAUGGGGGGACCAUCCUCCAAGGCUAAAUACUCCUGACUGACCGAUAGUGAACCAGUACCGUGAGGGAAAGGCGAAAAGAACCCCUGUGAGGGGAGUGAAAUAGAACCUGAAACCGUGUACGUACAAGCA